CCUACGGGUGGCAGCAGUGAGGAAUAUUGGUCAAUGGACGAGAGUCUGAACCAGCCAAGUAGCGUGAAGGAUGACUGCCCUAUGGGUUGUAAACUUCUUUUAUAUGGGAAUAAAAUGUUCCACGUGUGGGAGUUUGUAUGUACCAUAUGAAUAAGGAUCGGCUAACUCCGUGCCAGCAGCCGCGGUAAUACGGAGGAUGCGAUGGUUAUCCGGAUUUAUUGGGUUUAAAGGGUGCGUAGGCGGACUGUUAAGUCAGCGGUAAAAGCCCGGGGCUCAACCCCGGCGCGCCGUUGAAACUGGCUGGCUUGAGUGGUGGAGAGGUAUGCGGAAUGCGCGGGGUAGCGGUGAAAUGCUUAGAUAUUGCGAAGAACUCCGAUUGCGAAGGCAGCAUACCGGCGGCGAUCUGACGCUGAGGCACGAAAGCGUGGGUAUCGAACAGGAUUAGAUACCCCAGUAGUC
Molecule: ribosomal RNA, 459 nt
Filed under: uncultured bacterium
Lineage: Bacteria
Description: partial 16S ribosomal RNA
Rfam family: Bacterial small subunit ribosomal RNA
Source: RNAcentral